This 75-nucleotide transfer RNA is filed under the name uncultured Synechococcus sp. RNAcentral's name for it is "tRNA-Ile". Lineage: Bacteria; Bacillati; Cyanobacteriota; Cyanophyceae; Synechococcales; Synechococcaceae. The record is from RNAcentral.
GGGCCAUUACCUCUAGGGGGUUAAAGCCCACCCCUGAAAAGGGGGAGGUCCCUGGGUUCAAGUCCAGAAUGGCCC